GACGAACGCUGGCGGCGUGCCUAAUACAUGCAAGUAGAACGCUGAAGAGAGGAGCUUGCUCUUCUUGGAUGAGUUGCGAACGGGUGAGUAACGCGUAGGUAACCUGCCUUGUAGCGGGGGAUAACUAUUGGAAACGAUAGCUAAUACCGCAUAACAAUGGAUGACCCAUGUCAUUUAUUUGAAAGGGGCAAAUGCUCCACUACAAGAUGGACCUGCGUUGUAUUAGCUAGUAGGUGAGGUAACGGCUCACCUAGGCGACGAUACAUAGCCGACCUGAGAGGGUGAUCGGCCACACUGGGACUGAGACACGGCCCAGACUCCUACGGGAGGCAGCAGUAGGGAAUCUUCGGCAAUGGGGGCAACCCUGACCGAGCAACGCCGCGUGAGUGAAGAAGGUUUCGGAUCGUAAAGCUCUGUUGUGAGUCAAGAACGAGUGUGAGAGUGGAAAGUUCACACUGUGACGGUAGCUUACCAGAAAGGGACGGCUAACUACGUG
This 496-nucleotide ribosomal RNA is filed under the name uncultured bacterium. Its description in RNAcentral is "partial 16S ribosomal RNA". It matches the Rfam family "Bacterial small subunit ribosomal RNA", at positions 28 to 507 of the family's 1533-position model. The record is from RNAcentral.